UGAAGCGAUUCUGGCGGGCUGGGCUCCUUCAGCUCGCCGCCAUGAGGGCAGGGAGUGGCUCUGGCGGGCCGGGCUCCUUCAGCUCGCCGCCAUGAGGGCAAGGAGCUGCUCUGGUGAACCGAGCUCCCUCGCCAUGAGGGGCCACCGCCGCCAUGAGGCCUUCAGCCGAUGAGCGAUGGCGCUGACCCGCAGCUGGGGGUGACCUGGAGCCGCCCGAAGGAGCAGCCCUGAGGUGCCCCGGCCCCAUCGCGUGUGGAACCCCGAGCUGAGCUCUGCUGUGCUGGGCUGGGACAGCCGGGGAGGCGCUCCGGGAGGGCACUGGAGCCUGCGAGAGCAGAUGUGAAGGGAUGACCUGCCCGUGGGACACAGCGAAAGCUCUGGAGCCACGUGGGUGAGGUAAAUUGUUGGUGUGGGGCUUCCUGGAGCAGCAGGAGUGGUCAGAAGUAAAGCUGUGGAUGCGGCUUUGAAAAGCCUGGUUUGAAAGGUGAAGAUUGGAAACCUGGAGCCCACAGUUUAAAUGGGACAGCUGGAGAAUUUGUUUUGAGAAUGUGGAUUUAGGAAUUAAAAAUAUCAAAGGUGUUUUGGGGCAAGGUAUAACAAGAAUUAUGUGUACAAUUUAUUGUUAAUCUCCUCUCAUUGCUUGUUGGAAAUACAUUUUUACAUGACCUCAAUUAAAUGUAUUUAUAUUUAAGCU
Melospiza georgiana is the source of this 694-nucleotide long non-coding RNA. RefSeq lists it as uncharacterized. The record is from RefSeq and is a predicted model, not a curated record. NCBI's taxonomy places the organism in Eukaryota, Metazoa, Chordata, Aves, Passeriformes, Passerellidae. The transcript is spliced from 3 exons.